RNAcentral lists this long non-coding RNA (822 nucleotides) under Ananas comosus (pineapple). RNAcentral's name for it is "long non-coding RNA (ACOM_LNC032570)". Lineage: Eukaryota; Viridiplantae; Streptophyta; Magnoliopsida; Poales; Bromeliaceae. The record is from RNAcentral.
UCAUAUUUAUAUAUUUUGAAUCUUACAUAUAUUUUAUAUCAAAUUAAAAAAAUAUAUAAAAUUAGUUAUUCCAAUUAUUCGUUUUUUAGCUCCAAUUAGUCCGUAAAUAACUAUUGCCAGUUACAAAUAAUGGGCCAAAAAAAUGAUCCAAUUCUUAUCAUAUUUUGAGCACGAAAAUUCUAGUUGGAAAGAGCCAUCAAAUUCUAAAAAGCUCAAAAUAAAUAAGUAAAUAAAUCAAUAAAUAAAAUCACCACCACGGGCUCCGCCACCACCGAGGACGCGGUCACUGUCGCCAUAGUUAUUGUCGGCAGUAGCACCGCCCUCAGCCUCGAUGCUGCCCCACCCCCUUGGCCCCGCAUCUCCCAUCGCCCUCCAGUCCUCUAAUAUAAAAUUAACUCUUUAAAAAUAUUUUAUUAGGAAGUUGCUAACCUUGGUUGUGUUGAUAUGCUCUAACUUGAUAAAGUAAUAAGUUUGUGAAAUUAAUAGAUUUGGUGCAAGAAGAAGAUGGAGGGGUGGAAGUUUAUGCUUAAGAGAGGGGGAAGGUAAGGUACACGUUGCAAGGAGAAGAUGGAGGGGUGGGAGUUAAGCCAAGGGGAAGAAAUCAUAUAUGUUAAUUAAUUAAUAGAAGUUUGUGAAAUUAAUAGAUUUAUUGCAAGAAGAAAUGGAGGGGUGAAAGUUUAUACUUAAGAGAGGAUGAAGGUAAGGUAUACGUUGCAAGGAGAAGAUGGAGGGGUGGGAGUUAAGACAAGGGAACAUGAGCUGAGUUUAAAAAAAAAAAACUUCUAAAGUAAUGUGGUUGUGCCACAUCAGCAAGAUUAUUGA